AAAUUUAUAAAUUUAUAAACUAUUUUUCUUUCCUCUAUGUCCAAAUAAAGAUAAUAAUUUUAUUUUUUUCUUUUCAUUCACUUAUAUUGUCUAGGAGAAAAUAACAAAAGGAAUUUUUUUUUAUUUUCCAUUUCCAUUUUAUUUCCUCCUGUAAUUGCUUUUCUUUUUUGUCCAACAAGAAAUUUCUCAAACUAAGUAUAAUUAGAGCAUAAUUUAGGUUUUAUUCUUUGAAAGACGAAAGCCCUGCGAUCUACCAGUCCCGGAUUCACUCGCUGAAAUGAAAGGACGAAGCGAAAGAAAAUCUAUGCUUGAUUUCCCAUCUGAUUCCAUUUGGAUUCCGACCACAAGGCGAAUCGAGCCUUUCUUCGAACGAGGCCUGUCUGUCCAUGCAACAAAAUCAGAAAUCAAGAUGAAAAAAAGCAUAAAAUAUCAAACCCCUUCACACACACACACAGACGGAUUAGAGCUCUCACUUCAAAGCAAAUCCCAAGCAGAUUGUGCUCUCCUUCCUCCUUCCGUUUCUUUCUCCUUUAAUUACCUGGCAAAGUGGAUGUUUCUGAUUCAUUUGAUUUUUGUUUAAAAGAUCCGAUCUGAAAGCACGCAAAGGGAGAAGAUCAACAGACAAAGAGAGAUACGUGGGUCCACCAAUCCAUUAUAGUAUCACAUCUAAGAUUUUGUGACCGUACCUAACAAAUAUUUAUAUUUAUAGGGAGUUGACACAAAGGCACAACAACCACUUGCGCGGCAGCCCAAGCGGCGGCUUUCUAAUUUUAACGCCGCCGAUCCUGACAUAGCUCCUUCUCAACUACU
This 810-nucleotide long non-coding RNA is filed under the name Manihot esculenta (cassava). Its description in RNAcentral is "long non-coding RNA (MESC_LNC008357)". The record is from RNAcentral. Lineage: Eukaryota; Viridiplantae; Streptophyta; Magnoliopsida; Malpighiales; Euphorbiaceae.